AACUAAGCUAAACUCGCGAGACAAAAGGUUAUUAUUAUUUAUUUAUGUUAUAAUAUUUCUUUUGGUAUAUAUAAAAAAAUUAUGUUAUAAUUUUACUCAGUUAUAUAUUGCUUUUUUUUUGUUACUAUAAUAUUGUUACGAAAUUUUCACUGUCGUUAACGAUGACUAAUCUCUGUUGGGGAAUCUGUGGGACACACAAGGUGAGUUCUCCCCUCCAAACUUAUUUUUCCCAUACACAUGAACCAGAAAUCGAACCUCUGAUCACAUAUUUAAGGGGAUCAAAAUUCUUACCACUUAUACUAAUUGUUGGUAAGUAGCUAUCUAUUCAUAUAUUGCUUUAGUUGGUAAAAUAUAAGAUUUCGAGAUUAUGUUUCCUUAUUCAAUACUAUGCCAAUUUUAUUUUAUUUUACAAUUUAAUAGUUUUUUACCAUCGAUUUAACUGUGGAACAAACCCUCAAAUCUCCUUCAAAUAAAGUGGUCAAGUAUGAGAAAAAAUAUGUUAUUACAAUCAAUAUAUUCUUAUACAAUUUAUAUUUAACACUUUUGUUUUCCUAGUAACAGUAUAGUUGUGGAUUUUCUAAAAAGAGUUCAAAGAAACAACGAGUCAUGCUUAAUUAACAAUGUUGACUGUUGAGUCUCUUAUGUCUCUAGAUGUAGUUUUAAAAUUUUGUCAUCCAAAAAAGUUAGCGAUAUGGCAUGUUGCUAGCUUGUCUUUCAUUGGAGUGUAAC
This 729-nucleotide long non-coding RNA is filed under the name Trifolium pratense (red clover). RNAcentral describes it as "long non-coding RNA (TPRA_LNC008556)". Lineage: Eukaryota; Viridiplantae; Streptophyta; Magnoliopsida; Fabales; Fabaceae. The record is from RNAcentral.